This 73-nucleotide transfer RNA is filed under the name Candidatus Berkelbacteria bacterium. RNAcentral describes it as "tRNA-Ile". It matches the Rfam family "tRNA". From Rfam's summary of the family: Transfer RNA (tRNA) molecules are approximately 80 nucleotides in length. Their secondary structure includes four short double-helical elements and three loops (D, anti-codon, and T loops). The record is from RNAcentral. Lineage: Bacteria; Candidatus Berkelbacteria.
AGGCCCGUAGCUCAACGGUUAGAGCACCAAGCUUAUACCUUGGCGGUUCCUGGUUCGAAUCCAGGCGGGCCUA